GCUGACAAAAAAAAUUGUUCAAAUAUAAGUUGCUGAUUCAUUAUAUGUGUGGCAACAUAUUGCAAUACAAAAUUAAUAAGAAACUUUUUACUUAAUAAAAAAACUUAAGAUUAUUGAAUCGUUUUUUUGUUUUGAUAAUACCAGAUUUUUUUCAUCAAUUAAUCGAUCAUCGUAUGAGUUAGAAGUUUCUUUAGAAGAGAACAGUGACAGAUAUUGCAUGCGAUGCAUUUUUUUGUCCACGGUUCUGGAUUAUCGAUUGUACAGAAAAUGCUGCAAGAUAAUAGCGGGCUCUAUUUACAUGGAACGAUUAGCUAGUAAACUAUAUCGGACUGUACAGAAAAAGUAUGUGUUUGAGGAGAUUGAAGGGUAUAGCCGGUUAAAGGGGCCAAAACUGUCCUUCAGUCGAUUUAAACCGCUCUUUGACAUUCGAUAGAUCGUAAAAAGAAAAUCGUUUCUAUAAAACGUUAACUCUCUAUCGGAACCGGGGCGGGGUGGGGGGUAUAGGGUGCCCCCGGUUUAAUGGUUUACGAUUGAAUUUUCCAGUUUAAAUGCGUGUAUAAAUUUUUAAAAAAAUAUCACGAUUGUCGAAGUGCAUUAGUGACAAUUUUUUCUGAUUUUUAUGUAGGGUUGAACGCGUGUGUGAAUAAGAGUGCACGUGUAAGUUAUUUCGAUCAGCACAGCGAGACAAAUCCGAUAGUGCAAGCUUUAUACAAAAUAGUCAUGAAUGGAAAAGUUGGCGAUAUUAUACUUCGCUUGCAUUAGUGCGAAAGUGUAAAAAUCUUAAAACAGUUCUUACAAGUUCUUAUUUAACAUUACCAUGAACUGAUAUUAUUAAAAUAAGUUUUGUAUUUACAUUAUUACAUCUUAAAAUAAAUUUGUAUAACAUAAACCAGCA
Molecule: non-coding RNA, 895 nt
Organism: Megalopta genalis
Lineage: Eukaryota; Metazoa; Arthropoda; Insecta; Hymenoptera; Halictidae
Source: RefSeq, a predicted model, not a curated record